UGUUCUUUCGUCGUAGCUGGUGCCGGUUUAAAAGCCGGAGAAUAGGGAAUUACGUGAGAAUCGUAAACUGUACCCGCAACUGUACAACGGUAGCCGCAACAAGCGGAGCAUGGCCACAUGCUCAAGCUCUUUGUGGCAGUUUCAGGUCACUGCAUGUUCUCCUCCAGGGAGAGCGGCGGGAAGGCCGGAACAGAUUGAGACCGUGAUAGUCAGGAGACCUGCCAGUUAUUAUUUGCAUUA
RNAcentral lists this non-coding RNA (240 nucleotides) under Chlorobium ferrooxidans. Lineage: Bacteria; Pseudomonadati; Chlorobiota; Chlorobiia; Chlorobiales; Chlorobiaceae. The record is from RNAcentral. RNAcentral also lists the same sequence under 1 other name.